Alligator mississippiensis (American alligator) is the source of this 1085-nucleotide long non-coding RNA. RefSeq lists it as uncharacterized. NCBI's taxonomy places the organism in Eukaryota, Metazoa, Chordata, Crocodylia, Alligatoridae. The transcript is spliced from 3 exons. The record is from RefSeq and is a predicted model, not a curated record.
UAGGCAUUAUCGGUGCCAGCUCUCACUGGCUGAACCUGCUUUGAAGCAUUUUUAACAGCUGGAGGGGGGAAAAAACCCCUCUCUCCCAUUAACACCUGCAGAGUGGCAGGUAGACAUAAAUACAAACUGAUCUGUAGAAACCAGUAUUUACACAACUGAGACAGAUCAGUCUGAUGGGAGCCAGUCUUACUGUCUGCAGAAAAGCUGAGCUGACUUGUGCAAUGCCGGGAGUAGGAUGUGUCAGGUCUGUCUCUUUAUCAUUCAUCUGGGCAAGAAUCCAGCUACAACAGUCACCGUGCAUGCUUGGUACCUGUAUCAUCGUUGGUAAUCCCUCACAGUGGAGGAUGAUUUUUUUCCAUGAUUGCCUUAUCUGUGAGUUUGAGGAUGGCUGACAAAGCCAACCUGGGAUUAACAGAUUCUGUUGCAAUUCACACACGUGUUUCCCUGAGGGGUUGGUGGCUCUAGACUUUUUUGGUAUGGUCUGGAACAUGCUCUUUCUGCCACUCCUGCUUUUCCAUCUCCUCUUGUUGGCUUGAGGUUUCAAAGUACUGAGAUCCUUGCAGCAGACUUUUCCUCGAUUUGGAGCAAUCCUGGGUGAUAGUCUCCCAUGAGCUGAUGUCUGUCUUGCAUUUUUUUCAAGUUGGCCUUGAGGAUGUUCUUGAUGCAUUUUAUCAGCCCUCCUCUUGAGCAUUCACCUUGACUGAGCUGAGGGAAGAAAACUUGCUUCUGGAGUCGGACAUCCAGAUGAUAUGCUGGCCCAGUGAAGCUGAUGUCGGAUGAUUAUCACCUCAAUGGUCGUGGUGUUUGCUUGUGAGAGGAUGCUAAUUGGUGCAUCUGUGUUCGCACUGAAUUUGAAGGAUCUUCCACAGGCAGCAUUGAUAGUACUCCAGUGACUUGAGGUGACUCCUGUAUGUUGUCCGCAUCUCAGCUCCAUAUGGUAAGGUAAGGAUCACGACUGCUUGAUAAACCAUGAGCUUAGUUUCGAAUCUGAUGUUGCAAUCUUUGAACACCUGUUUCCUUGGGCAUCCAAAAGCUGCACUUUCACAUUUGAGGCAAAGUUUUUUUCAAAUAGACAAAAUCUAAAA